UGACUUUAGGACCUGAGAGUGGAAGUCUCU
RNAcentral lists this non-coding RNA (30 nucleotides) under Macaca fascicularis (crab-eating macaque). Lineage: Eukaryota; Metazoa; Chordata; Mammalia; Primates; Cercopithecidae. RNAcentral also lists the same sequence under 1 other name. The record is from RNAcentral.